GCCCGGGCGGAGCGGCCGUCGGU
RNAcentral lists this small nuclear RNA (23 nucleotides) under Arabidopsis thaliana (thale cress). Its description in RNAcentral is "snRNA_04440". Lineage: Eukaryota; Viridiplantae; Streptophyta; Magnoliopsida; Brassicales; Brassicaceae. The record is from RNAcentral.